Molecule: non-coding RNA, 187 nt
Organism: Pelobates cultripes (western spadefoot toad)
Lineage: Eukaryota; Metazoa; Chordata; Amphibia; Anura; Pelobatidae
Source: the annotation of a GenBank genome assembly
AUCUGUGUUAGUGAGCACUUCUCCUUUGCCGAGAUAACAUUUUGCACAUUUUAGAGUGGCCUUUUAUUGUGUCCAGCCUAAGGCACACCUGUGCAAUAAUCAUGCUGUCUAAUCAGCAUCUUGAUAUGCCACACCUGUGAGGUGGAUGGAUUAUCUCGGCAAAGGAGAAGUGCUCACUAGCACAGAU